This 468-nucleotide ribosomal RNA is filed under the name uncultured bacterium. RNAcentral describes it as "partial 16S ribosomal RNA". It matches the Rfam family "Bacterial small subunit ribosomal RNA", at positions 28 to 507 of the family's 1533-position model. The record is from RNAcentral.
GACGAACGCUGGCGGCGUGCUUAACACAUGCAAGUCGAACGGAAAGGCCCUGCUUUUGUGGGGUGCUCGAGUGGCGAACGGGUGAGUAACGCGUGAGUAACCUGCCCUUGACUUUGGUAUAACUUCAGGAAACUGGGGCUAAUACCGGAUAGGAGCUCCUGCUGCAUGGUGGGGGUUGGAAAGUUUCGGCGGUUGGGGAUGGACUCGCGGCUUAUCAGCUUGUUGGUGGGGUAGUGGCUUACCAAGGCUUUGACGGGUAGCCGGCCUGAGAGGGUGACCGGCCACAUUGGGACUGAGAUACGGCCCAGACUCCUACGGGAGGCAGCAGUGGGGAAUAUUGCACAAUGGGCGGAAGCCUGAUGCAGCAACGCCGCGUGCGGGAUGACGGCCUUCGGGUUGUAAACCGCUUUCGCCUGUGACGAAGCGUGAGUGACGGUAAUGGGUAAAGAAGCACCGGCUAACUACGUG